CUUGCGCCAGCAAGCACCUGCUUCCGAACCAGGUCAGGUCGGAAACGAAGCAGCCUUAAGGAAGCGUGGACUGUGCUGGCGCCCUAUU
Molecule: non-coding RNA, 88 nt
Organism: Hydrogenibacillus schlegelii
Lineage: Bacteria; Bacillati; Bacillota; Bacilli; Thermicanales; Thermicanaceae
Source: Rfam